RNAcentral lists this ribosomal RNA (115 nucleotides) under Leminorella richardii. The record is from RNAcentral. Lineage: Bacteria; Pseudomonadati; Pseudomonadota; Gammaproteobacteria; Enterobacterales; Budviciaceae.
UGGCGGCGAUAGCGCGGUGGUCCCACCUGACCCCAUGCCGAACUCAGAAGUAAAACGCCGUAGCGCCGAUGGUAGUGUGGGGCUUCCCCAUGCGAGAGUAGGGAACUGCCAGGCU